Molecule: ribosomal RNA, 33 nt
Filed under: uncultured cyanobacterium
Lineage: Bacteria; Bacillati; Cyanobacteriota
Description: partial 23S ribosomal RNA
Source: RNAcentral
GUCAAGUUACAAAGGGCUCACGGUGGAUACCUA